ACGAAAAAUGAAUACCAAGUCUCAAGAGUGAACACGUAAUUCAUUACGAAGUUUAAUUCAUUGAGCAUCAAACUUUUAAAUUGAAGAGUUUGAUCAUGGCUCAGAUUGAACGCUGGCGGCAGGCCUAACACAUGCAAGUCGAACGGUAACAGGAAGCAGCUUGCUGCUUUGCUGACGAGUGGCGGACGGGUGAGUAAUGUCUGGGAAACUGCCUGAUGGAGGGGGAUAACUACUGGAAACGGUGGCUAAUACCGCAUAACGUCGCAAGACCAAAGAGGGGGACCUUCGGGCCUCUUGCCAUCAGAUGUGCCCAGAUGGGAUUAGCUUGUUGGUGAGGUAACGGCUCACCAAGGCGACGAUCCCUAGCUGGUCUGAGAGGAUGACCAGCCACACUGGAACUGAGACACGGUCCAGACUCCUACGGGAGGCAGCAGUGGGGAAUAUUGCACAAUGGGCGCAAGCCUGAUGCAGCCAUGCCGCGUGUAUGAAGAAGGCCUUCGGGUUGUAAAGUACUUUCAGCGGGGAGGAAGGUGUUGUGGUUAAUAACCGCAGCAAUUGACGUUACCCGCAGAAGAAGCACCGGCUAACUCCGUGCCAGCAGCCGCGGUAAUACGGAGGGUGCAAGCGUUAAUCGGAAUUACUGGGCGUAAAGCGCACGCAGGCGGUCUGUCAAGUCGGAUGUGAAAUCCCCGGGCUCAACCUGGGAACUGCAUUCGAAACUGGCAGGCUUGAGUCUUGUAGAGGGGGGUAGAAUUCCAGGUGUAGCGGUGAAAUGCGUAGAGAUCUGGAGGAAUACCGGUGGCGAAGGCGGCCCCCUGGACAAAGACUGACGCUCAGGUGCGAAAGCGUGGGGAGCAAACAGGAUUAGAUACCCUGGUAGUCCACGCCGUAAACGAUGUCUACUUGGAGGUUGUGCCCUUGAGGCGUGGCUUCCGGAGCUAACGCGUUAAGUAGACCGCCUGGGGAGUACGGCCGCAAGGUUAAAACUCAAAUGAAUUGACGGGGGCCCGCACAAGCGGUGGAGCAUGUGGUUUAAUUCGAUGCAACGCGAAGAACCUUACCUGGUCUUGACAUCCACGGAAGUUUUCAGAGAUGAGAAUGUGCCUUCGGGAACCGUGAGACAGGUGCUGCAUGGCUGUCGUCAGCUCGUGUUGUGAAAUGUUGGGUUAAGUCCCGCAACGAGCGCAACCCUUAUCCUUUGUUGCCAGCGGUCCGGCCGGGAACUCAAAGGAGACUGCCAGUGAUAAACUGGAGGAAGGUGGGGAUGACGUCAAGUCAUCAUGGCCCUUACGACCAGGGCUACACACGUGCUACAAUGGCGCAUACAAAGAGAAGCGACCUCGCGAGAGCAAGCGGACCUCAUAAAGUGCGUCGUAGUCCGGAUUGGAGUCUGCAACUCGACUCCAUGAAGUCGGAAUCGCUAGUAAUCGUGGAUCAGAAUGCCACGGUGAAUACGUUCCCGGGCCUUGUACACACCGCCCGUCACACCAUGGGAGUGGGUUGCAAAAGAAGUAGGUAGCUUAACCUUCGGGAGGGCGCUUACCACUUUGUGAUUCAUGACUGGGGUGAAGUCGUAACAAGGUAACCGUAGGGGAACCUGCGGUUGGAUCACCUCCUUACCUUAAAGAAGCGUACUUUGCAGUGCUCACACAGAUUGUCUGAUGAAAA
RNAcentral lists this ribosomal RNA (1668 nucleotides) under Salmonella enterica subsp. enterica serovar Paratyphi A. RNAcentral's name for it is "bacterial SSU rRNA". It matches the Rfam family "Bacterial small subunit ribosomal RNA". Lineage: Bacteria; Pseudomonadati; Pseudomonadota; Gammaproteobacteria; Enterobacterales; Enterobacteriaceae. The record is from RNAcentral.